RNAcentral lists this ribosomal RNA (332 nucleotides) under uncultured bacterium. RNAcentral's name for it is "bacterial SSU rRNA". It matches the Rfam family "Bacterial small subunit ribosomal RNA", at positions 568 to 898 of the family's 1533-position model. The record is from RNAcentral.
CGCGUAGGUGGGUCGGUAAGUGAGGGGUGAAAUCCCGGGGCUUAACUCCGGAAUGGCCCUUCAGACUGCCGGUCUCGAGUGCGAGAGGGGAAGAUGGAAUUCCUGGUGUAGCGGUGGAAUGCGUAGAUAUCAGGAAGAACACCGGUGGCGAAGGCGGUCUUCUGGCUCGUAACUGACACUGAGGCGCGAAAGCGUGGGGAGCAAACAGGAUUAGAUACCCUGGUAGUCCACGCUGUAAACGAUGAACACUAGGUGUUGGAGGAUUCGACCCCUUCAGUGCCGCAGCUAACGCGUUAAGUGUUCCGCCUGGGGAGUACGGUCGCAAGGCUGAA